AUAUAUUUGGUUAAUAAAAGGUUCAAUUGAGGGUAACCCUCCCCAACCACUAAACCCCAUAGCUUGUCAAGGAAAGAUUUGAUCAUAGUGCCUUUUUAGUAGAACUGAAUGGAGUUUAAUGAAAUAAAAUACCAGAUAUAUGAGGACAAACAGGAACAUAUUGACUGAGAAUACUGGAUAAACUAUACUGAGUACUGACAUACUUAUAAUUUCCAUGAAUACACAAACAAACAGUUCAAAAAUAAAAUUUGAAGAAUUUGAAUAUCCUUAUUAAAGAUUGUCAAUUGAAAUACAUUUUCCAAAUAUUUCAUAGGAACAAACAGCAUGAAUUUAUUUCUGUUUUAAUUAUCUAUAUCCUAAUCUACAAUUAACCAA
Molecule: unclassified non-coding RNA, 375 nt
Filed under: Hevea brasiliensis (rubber tree)
Lineage: Eukaryota; Viridiplantae; Streptophyta; Magnoliopsida; Malpighiales; Euphorbiaceae
Source: RNAcentral